Molecule: small RNA, 281 nt
Filed under: Ophiocordyceps sinensis
Lineage: Eukaryota; Fungi; Ascomycota; Sordariomycetes; Hypocreales; Ophiocordycipitaceae
Also listed under: 1 other name
Description: A. fumigatus sRNA Afu_309
Rfam family: A. fumigatus sRNA Afu_309
Source: Rfam by way of RNAcentral
AUUUUCUCCAUCAUCACGGAUCUGUGCCCGGCGGUCCUCUGCUUGAGCUUUUCAAGUCAGGGUCGACUGCCGCGCAGCUCGAUAACCUCAUGGAGCCAUCAACUUGCUAUGGUGUCAAUCAUCCUAUCGACAGGUCCUAGAAAGAUCGGUCUGGGGGCUGUCCCGUUUGUCGUCGCAAGACGGCCAGCGCGGCGGCUCCUGCACCGGAGGCGGUAUAUUCCAACCCUCUUUUCCGAGGUCGUCGACCCGUGAGGUUGGGGAAAACCAUGAGGCCUACAUAA